CUACGGGGGGCAGCAGUGAGGAAUUUUGCGCAAUGGGCGAAAGCCUGACGCAGCAACGCCGCGUGAGUGACGAAGGCCUUCGGGUCGUAAAGCUCUGUCAAGCGGGAAGAACCCGCGGACGUCCAACAAGCGUCCGCGCUGACGGUACCGCUGAAGGAAGCACCGGCUAACUCCGUGCCAGCAGCCGCGGUAAUACGGAGGGUGCGAGCGUUAUUCGGAAUUAUUGGGCGUAAAGGGCGCGCAGGCGGCCCUGAAAGUCAGAUGUGAAAGCCCGGGGCUCAACCCCGGAAGUGCAUUUGAUACUGCAGGGCUUGAGUAUGGGAGAGGGAAGUGGAAUUCCUGGUGUAGAGGUGAAAUUCGUAGAUAUCAGGAGGAACACCGGUGGCGAAGGCGACUUCCUGGACCAAUACUGACGCUGAGGCGCGAAGGCGUGGGGAGCAAACAGGAUUAGAUACCCGGGUAGUC
Molecule: ribosomal RNA, 465 nt
Filed under: uncultured bacterium
Lineage: Bacteria
Description: partial 16S ribosomal RNA
Rfam family: Bacterial small subunit ribosomal RNA
Source: RNAcentral